Molecule: ribosomal RNA, 488 nt
Filed under: uncultured bacterium
Lineage: Bacteria
Description: bacterial SSU rRNA
Rfam family: Bacterial small subunit ribosomal RNA
Source: RNAcentral
GAUGAACGCUGGCGGCGUGCCUAACACAUGCAAGUCGAACGGAGCUGUUUUGAUGAAGUUUUCGGAUGGAUUUAAAACAGCUUAGUGGCGGACGGGUGAGUAACGCGUGGGUAACCUGCCUCACACUGGGGGAUAACAGUUAGAAAUAGCUGCUAAUACCGCAUAAGCGCACGGUUCCGCAUGGAACAGUGUGAAAAACUCCGGUGGUGUGAGAUGGACCCGCGUCUGAUUAGCCAGUUGGCGGGUAACGGCCCACCAAAGCGACGAUCAGUAGCCGCCUGAGAGGGUGAACGGCCACAUUGGGACUGAGACACGGCCCAAACUCCUACGGGAGGCAGCAGUGGGGAAUAUUGCACAAUGGGGGAAACCCUGAUGCAGCGACGCCGCGUGAGUGAAGAAGUAUUUCGGUAUGUAAAGCUCUAUCAGCAGGGAAGAAAAGUGACGGUACCUGAAUAAGAAGCCCCGGNUAACUACGUGCCAGCAGCCGC